AUUCAGAAAUAUCAUCUUCCUAUAUUGCAUAAAUGAGAUUACCCAAAAUAUUUACAUUGGAUCCACACAUGCACCCCUAAAGAGGAAAAGUGACCAUUGAACUAGGGAAAUUUCACAUUCCACACCAUUCAGAAUGUAAGUUUAAGUACAUUGUUAAUAUUAUGACCAUUUGAAUCAAAACAACUCAGCAUUAAGAAAUCCAUUAUAAAACAUCAUUAAAAAAAAA
Molecule: unclassified non-coding RNA, 226 nt
Filed under: Hevea brasiliensis (rubber tree)
Lineage: Eukaryota; Viridiplantae; Streptophyta; Magnoliopsida; Malpighiales; Euphorbiaceae
Source: RNAcentral